CACCUGCAGACCUGCUUCACCACUUGUGAUGCUUCUCUCCUGCAGGUCGGCUGCGAAGGAGGCUCAAACCGAGGUCCUCGCUGGGGUCCUUGCACUUAGUAUUAUGUGCACUUAACCAAGUGCACCACUGCCUCACCCCCCUCGCUGUUGUGUGUCUGAAGACAGAGGGAGAGCAGAGAAAAAGAGUGAGAGACAGAGAGAGAGCCAGAGAGAGAGACAGAGAGAGAGACAGAGGCUGAGAAAGACCACAGCCCCACAGCUGCCUUCAUUGUGGUGGGGGCCAGCCUGGCUCGAACCUCGGUACAGUGCACUGUCUGAGUAAGCCAUCUUGCUGGGCCAUGUCAACGGCUUUCAAAGGUCUUUCUGGACAGAAGAGCAGCUCUCAGCAUCACUCCAGUGCCAGCUAAAACGCAGGCGCCUACGCCUGGCGCACAGGUGUGGGGGCUGAGCUGCGGGCUCCUCCCCUGGCUGCUGUGACCUGGAGCUCACCACAACAGCUCCCCAGCACACACGCUUCUCCUGCAGAAACGAGACCCCACGUCAAGCCCCGAUGCCGAGUUUGGGACAUGUUGGGGGCCACCCUUGGGAGACCAGCCGGCUCUAAGUCUUUGUCCUUACACCUCUCCCCGGGGGAGAAGUCCAGGCCUGGGGUGGGAGGCCCGAGACAGCUGUGACUCCUCUGGCUUGGUGGCUCUCAAGGAACCUGCUUCUUCCCUCUCCGCACCGAUGGCAGCAAGUACAGCUCUCAGCCUGGCUCGCUCGGCCAACACACAGCAAAGCUUCCUCACCUACUGCCAGGCAGCACAGCGGCGACAGUCACCAGGCACUGUGGGGGCCGGGCAGUGGCGCACACAGCAGAGUGUAUGCACCACCUGCACAAGGACCUGGGUUCGAGCCCUGCAGGGGGGAAGCUUCCUGAGUGGUGAGGCAGGUAUUCAGGCAUCUCUUUCUCUUUCCCUUUAUAUUUCCACCCCCCCAUGUCCUAUGAAACAAAGAAAAUGACCUCUGAUAGAUGUGGAUUUGUUUUGUAGGCAAUAAGCCCCAGUGAUAACCCUGGUGGCAAUAAAAACAUAAAAAAUGGGAGUCGGGUGGUAGCACAGCGGGUUAAGUGCACGUGGUGCAAAGCGCAAGGACUGGAGUAAGGAUCCUGGUUCGAACCCCAGCUCCCCACCUGCAGGGGAGUCGCUUCACAGGCGGUGAAGCAAGUCUGCAGGUGUCUGUCUUUCUCUCCCCCUCUCUGUCUUCCCCUCCUGUCUCCAUUUCUCUCUGUCCUAUCCAACAACAAUGACAUGAAUAAUAACUACAACAAUAAAACAAGAACAACAAAAGGGAAUAAAUAAAUAUAAAAAAUUUAAAAAUCUAUAUAUUAAAAUAAUAAUUGAGGAAGAGGAGGAGGAGGAGGAGGAAGAGAAGCAGGAGGAGAGGAUCAAAGCCUGGCGAUGACAGCAGGUUCAGGCACUGCCCUCACACCUGAGUUUGCACCUGAGUGGGAUGUGCUCUCUUCCUCUUCAGACUCCACUGGCUUGUCUGUCCCUCCAGGCAGGUUCUCCCCCAUGAGAGUGCUUCUUCUUAUAAACCGCACGCCAAGCAGACGGCCAGUCUGCGACUAGACGUGCUUUCCACGUGGGGUGGGGCCCCCGUGGGGAUUUGGGGGCCCCCUGACCAAGUGCUGGGCGCUGCCUGGUGCCGGUGACAGAAGGCGGCCUCCUCCGCUGUGGCUUUGCUCCCGGCUGAUGUCCGAGUCCGGGCCCCAUCCCCGAUAGCCCCAGCUGACCGGUGGCCACUGCUCCUCAGGCUGCCCACCACGUCAUGAAUGACUCCAUCCGGUCUGAAGUCACAGAGGCCUCACACCCACUGCACAAAUGGCCUUGUGGGGGGCAGAACCCCUCUCCUGCUGGCUGGCCCCAUGGAGCCAGGGCAGGGGGAUGACAAGGCGCUAAUGGUGCGUCCUCUGGCUUUCUUUAAGCCGGUCCCUGGGCUUUGCACCACCUGCGCUUAACCCGCCGCACUACCACCCAACUCUGUCAGGCUGUCCUUAGCCCCUGGCUGGGUGCUUGCAGAUAGCGGAGAACGCCAGCAGAGACACAUCUCGGCUCCUUCCCUGCAGCAACAAAGUGGCCAGAGACUGACCGACACGAGCUAGGUGACCCAGGAGACGUGGAACUAAAAGCCUGCAGGCUGACCUGUGGGUCUGGGGGCAGCUGGAUUCUGGGCGGAAUUGUCUCACCUCCAGCCUGUAAGUCCAAAAUAUUCUCAGUGGUGGGGGGAGGAGGAGGACAAGACACUCCUUUCACUAGAGAACCUUCCUCGGGACCGUUCAUGAAGGUCCUGAGCUGUCUGUCUGGCGUCCGUGGAUCCAGACACCACAGUCCCUCCUCAAGAGAUGGUCUUGCAGAUCUCAAGCAGCAAGGGGCAGAGCCUGUGCUCCGUGGGUGGGUCUGCCACAAAGUGUUAGCCAUAGGGAAUGCUCCUGGUGCCGAGGGGGAGGAGCAAGAAGCCGCACUGAGGCCCCUGGCACACACACCACCACCACCACCGGCUGUCCCCUCCCCAAGCAGGGGCUCCUCAGUCUGCAGAGACAGGCACCACCUGCCCUGGAGACCUUCUGGAUCACCUCACUGGGAGUUCUCCACCACCCCACACCCCAAGCCACUUGGCCAGAGACACACUGGACUUAGCAGCCUCUCCCGCCUUUCAUCUCUCUGGGCCCCAGCACAAGUGCACCCUCCCAGUCCCACUUGUUUGAAGCUGUCAGGAGAGUGAAGGUAACAUGCUCAUAGUGUUGUCUUGAGUACUCAGUGACAUAAUGUGGACACUGGGUGGUAGGGAGAGGCUACCACCACCACCACCAUCAUCAACAACAACAACAUUACCACCAUUACUGUCAGUACCACCUUCACCACCAUCCCUGCCACCAGUCAUGUCUUCACCAUUUCCAUCGCCACCACCACUGUUAUCACCAUCACAUUUCUACCCACACCACCACCAGCACCACCCUCACUGCCUCUGAGGACCCACUCCCCCACCCCAGUGUGGACGAUGGCUCACAGGGCUCCCGUGAAUGGAAAACUGGACGCCUGAGCAGAGAGAGACUCACAUUCCCAGCUGUCCUGGGAGGAGUGACCUCAUCAACUGAGCCGUCUGAGAGCCGUCUGAGAGCCGCCCCCUGGUUUCCCUGAGCUCUGACACCCACACACGCCAGCCCCGCAGAGCUCAGCUGGGGCGGAUGUCAAAGGCACCAGAACUUCAGCUGCCCCGGGGAUGGGGAUGUGCCUCCGGAAGGCUCUGCUCAGGACCAGCCACCAUACUUCCUGCUCCUCUCUUCAAGGGCAAAUCUUGCUCUGCUUUGUUUUUCUCUCUGUCACUGGCUGGGAGAAAGUUGUGUAACCAAAAAGACUCAGCACUGGCUCUCUCCGAGAUGUGAGAUCCUAUGUGGUGUGUUCUCUCCUUGGUGUUUUAAAAGUCAUGCAGUAGAAAGCACUCCUCUAAAUCAA
Long non-coding RNA from Erinaceus europaeus (western European hedgehog), 3494 nucleotides. RefSeq lists it as uncharacterized. The record is from RefSeq and is a predicted model, not a curated record. NCBI's taxonomy places the organism in Eukaryota, Metazoa, Chordata, Mammalia, Eulipotyphla, Erinaceidae. The transcript is spliced from 3 exons.